GUCAGGGAGAGCCCUGCACCUCUAGAAGAUGUGAUCCGAGUCUUCACUCAACUCAUUCCCAAAUUACUGUUUAACAUAGCAAGCGUCUCAUUGUCUGUGUAUAUAUACAGACUCGCACAGUCAGUCAGUCUAGACCACUCUCAUUGGCACCACCUAUCAGUAGAAUUACUACAAUGGAAAACUAUAGACUUUCUCACCAGAGGCCUGACUGCUACGACUCUCCUAUGAACCUGGGUGUCAGUUCACCUUUGAAACUCAGGUUUGUCUAUGAAGGGAAAAUUGACCAGAAAAAAGUCUUCUGACAAAAAUAGUUGUAAUCCCUGCCACUUACUAACAUGGAGCCUAACUGGUAAGCCCUGUGUUUUACUCACUGAGCCAGGCACAGUUCAGACACUUCCGUUCUGAAACAAGCGUACACGUUAUCCAUGGCUUAUUAGUCGGAAUGCUGAAACAGCCCAGGACCUGGUCCUGCGUCAUCCAGUCGGGUUUCUCGGUGGGCUCCGUGAUUUUGAUAAAGUGAUUUGAUAAAGCUUUCACUGUCUAACCACCAACUGCAUGCUAAAAAUCUACACACGCCACAACCCUGGCACUCAGAAGACUGAGACAAGAGGAUUGCAAGUUCUAGACCAGCCUGGGCUCCACAAUGAGGCCGCGUUUCUAAGAAGACAAUAAAUUUGUCCUCAUACUACCUCCUCUCCUCACAAGAUCCUGGCAGCUUGGCUACCCUGUGCUACUGUGGGAAACACAGGCAUGAGGCACUGGCUGGGGACUACCCUCGGGAAGCAGGGCACUGAGCACAGUCACCACUCACUCGGUCUCUUGCUGGGUGGGAGGAGUCUUUCGUGGACUCUGCUGAGUCAUGCUCAGUCUCUCCUUUUGCAUCAGGACCAGCCACCAGGGGGUCAGCCAAGGAAGAAAGGAUGGGGAUUUUCUUAGCUUGAAAAUAGCUGUAGGCCACCUUUCCACAGACCAACAGAGUGACGUGCUCCCCGCUGCUCUUGAUUCUCUCCACCACUCUGUCAUAGGGUUCAUCUUGCACAUUCUCCCCAUUCACUUCAAUGAUGAUGUCCUCAUUCUCCAGCCCUGCCUUGUCAGCAGGGCCACCCUGCUGUACCUAUGAACAGAAGUUCUGAAUGUCGGUUCCAAACAUGGAGGAGGGUGUGCCAGGCAGCUUCCCCUCCUGAUGAGUCUCAGUACUUCUUAACCACACCUCUCUCCUUGAUGGGCUCCACCCCUGAACUCUAGGGAGCUCAGCCACAAUGGCCAAGUCCUGCUGGGACAUCUGCUGGGCUGAAGGUGUCAGGCCCCCUUCCCAACUGGAAGCUGCAGGGCAGCCUCACCGCCCUUCCCUACAGGGUACAGGCACCGUGCACAUCCACAGCAGCAGACAAGGGAAGUGUGACCCCUGUUAGUGUCGUGGCAGCUGUGGCUUGCACUGGAAAUUCCAUCCCAACUGGCUGUGUUUGCUGGAACUAGUUACCGUACCUCCUUGACAAAGGAGCCUGGCUGGCCCCGAAUGGCGUUCAGGUGAAAGCCGUAGCUGUCGUCCUCUUUAAUCAGCCUGCAGAGCUUGGGUUUAUGAUCCCCCACGUCCUCUGUGGUAGCUGAGCCUGGGGCCUCCAGAGGAGCAGAGAUGGGAGCUGGGGCUUCCUUCACAGAACCAUUAGGCAGUUCUUGACUUUGGCAGUAGAGAAGUGGAGAGAAACGAGCCUUUCGAAAAUAAAGGGAAAAAAUACCCAUCUGAGCAA
RNAcentral lists this long non-coding RNA (1748 nucleotides) under Rattus norvegicus (Norway rat). RNAcentral's name for it is "long non-coding RNA NONRATT016690". The record is from RNAcentral. Lineage: Eukaryota; Metazoa; Chordata; Mammalia; Rodentia; Muridae.